CGCCUCUUGUCACCUAUAAGAGGUCCUGCCUGCCCAGUGACCUAAUUCAACGGCCGCGGUAUCUUAACCGUGCGAAGGUAGCAUAAUCAAUCGUUCUUUAAAUGAGGACUAGUAUGAACGGCGUCACGAAGGCCUCACUGUCUCCUUUUUCAAAUCAGUGAAACUAAUCUCCCUGUGAAGAAGCAGGGAUAAAGUUAUAAGACGAGAAGACCCUGUGGAGCUUUAAACACAUAUAUUACCUGCUACCACAACACAGUAAGCUUGCCUAAUUAUAAGUUUUAGGUUGGGGCGACCCUGGAGUAAAAAACAACCUCCAAGUAGAAAGGAUCAACAUUCCUUAGCAAAAAACUUCAACUUGAUGCACCAAUAAAUUGACUUCAAUUGACCCAAUAUUUUGACCAACGAACCAAGUUACCCCAGGGAUAACAGCGCUAUCCACUUCAAGAGACCCUAUCAAAAAGUGGGCUUACGACCUCGAUGUUGGAUCAGGGUUUCCCAGUGGUGCAGCCGCUACUAACGGUUUGUUUGUUCAACAAUUAAAACCCU
Molecule: ribosomal RNA, 546 nt
Filed under: Hyloscirtus colymba (La Loma treefrog)
Lineage: Eukaryota; Metazoa; Chordata; Amphibia; Anura; Hylidae
Description: partial 16S ribosomal RNA
Rfam family: Bacterial large subunit ribosomal RNA
Source: RNAcentral